CUGACACUUUUCUUUCUUGUAAUUGAUACUCUUCUGUUGAAUAUUUACUUCAUAAAGAUGGUUUAGUGUCUUCGAAAAAGUCCGUUAGCAUCUCAACUGUUUUCAGACAAUAUAUGCUAACUCUGUAUUUUGAGCUUUGAUUGAUCAAAGUUUUGACUUUUCAUCACAUAUUUAUGUGUAGUUGGGAGAUUUUGAGAACUUUGUAAAGGUUUUGUCAAUGGGUUAUUGGAAUUAGAUUAAUUUAUUUAGCCUAAAAUAUGUGCUGUAACUUUACUGUUAAUUGGUGACAUCACUUAAAGGAGCAUGUAUUAACUGAAUCUAGUUAAAACGUGAUUUGAUAUUUAAUGGCAAACAAUUAUUGAUAAAAAUUGUUCUGUGGUUUCAGGAGUAACACUUCUACAACAGAAGAGAAGCUCCAAGAUAUCAAAAUUUCUGAAGGAAGCUGCUGACAGAGAUGUGGGAAACAUAGGGUGUGGCCAAAGGUUUCAUUGGUGCUUUGUCAUCACUGCAAGAUUUCAGAUGCAACCCAGUCAGUUCUUCCAAGACACCAAACACCAGACCGCUCCACUGCAACUACAUACUGUGUGUACCUUCAAGACUAGGAGUUUAUUGUUUUCAUUCCAGGUCACCAUAGCCACCCAGAUCCAGUCAGUAUCCAGAUCAGAUGGUGGAUCAGCACCUAGAGAUGACCUCUACAGCCCUGAAUGUCAGCGGAGACCAUGUCAGCUAGAUGAGCUCCAGAGACAGAUCCCCAGUGAAGACCUCUUUGGCCAUCAGGACUAGACCACGAGAACCAAACAAGUCCUCUGCUUAAUCUGACCUGUGCAGGAAUUAAACCAUGCCAUGCUGGUUUCGUCUGGCCAGAGGAGAACUGCCCCUCGACUGAGCCUGGUUUCUCCCAAGGUUUUCUACUCAGUUUCUGUCACCGAUGGAGUUUUGAGUCCUUGCUGCUGUCGCCUUUGGCUUGCUUAUUUCGGGACUUGCUUAUUUGCAUAGACACUAUUGGAAAAGAGCUGAACUGAAUGAUGAUUUCAUUGAACCAUCAAUGAACUGACUUUAACUGGAAAAAUGACUUGUUAAUGUCCUCUUGCAUUAUUAACAAACUAUUUUCCUGUUUGACUGUAAAGCUGCUUUGACACGAUCAGUAUUGUAUAAAGUGCAUUAUAAAUAAAGGUGACUUGACUUGAUUUUAUAAACUGUAACACCUGGUUCAUUAUUUUUUUUUGACUCCUGCCUCAUUUUAAAGAUGUAAUUGUGAACAGUAGUAAUAUUUGUAAAUGUUUGUCAGCUGGAGCUUUAAAGGCACCCAAAAACGAAAAUUUGCUGUUAAUUUACUGACCCUUAGGCCAUCCGAGAUGUAGGUGACUUUUUUUCUUUAAGCCUGUAUGUUUAGUCUGUAUGACAAAUGUUAUUAAUGGAGAUUGUUAUUAAAUAAUGGCUAUUAUGUGUUGUAAAUUGUGUGUUUUUAGUGAUUGAUAAACACCAGUUAAUCAUUUUGAAUAUUUUUGUUAAAUUAUAAAAAUAUAUGUUUUAGUUC
Onychostoma macrolepis is the source of this 1537-nucleotide long non-coding RNA. RefSeq lists it as uncharacterized. NCBI's taxonomy places the organism in Eukaryota, Metazoa, Chordata, Actinopteri, Cypriniformes, Cyprinidae. The record is from RefSeq and is a predicted model, not a curated record. The transcript is spliced from 3 exons.